AUUCCUACGGGAGGCAGCAGUGAGGAAUAUUGGUCAAUGGCCGGGAGGCUGAACCAGCCAAGUCGCGUGAGGGAAGACGGCCCUACGGGUUGUAAACCUCUUUUGUCAGGGAGCAAGGUGCAGGUCGGGACCUGCUGCGAGAGUACCUGAAGAAAAAGCAUCGGCUAACUCCGUGCCAGCAGCCGCGGUAAUACGGAGGAUGCGAGCGUUAUCCGGAUUUAUUGGGUUUAAAGGGGGCGCAGGCGGAGGAACAAGAC
This 257-nucleotide ribosomal RNA is filed under the name uncultured bacterium. RNAcentral describes it as "partial 16S ribosomal RNA". It matches the Rfam family "Bacterial small subunit ribosomal RNA", at positions 335 to 589 of the family's 1533-position model. The record is from RNAcentral.